CACAGAUUUUCUUGCUGUGUCCAUGGAAGUGAGGGAAUCUGCUUAUGUUUUCUACAUUUAUGCUUCCUGGCAGGUGCUUAAAAGAUUGGUUGAGUAAAUUACAACACUUAGCCGAGCUUUCCUCUGACUGCCACAAUCCUCAGCACGUGCAAGGUCAGAUCUUCACUGCAGAGGAAACCCAUUUAGCAACAUGCUAAUUUCCUUCAAGGAAAGAGAUUACUGAUCACAGUAGAUUUCUACAGCAGCCUGCCUACUAUCAGGGACCUGGAGAGAUGAAGGCUGAAGACACCAUAUGGAUAUCCCAUAAUGUACCUUGUGGGGGUGAUCCAGCCAAGCCAUGUGCUUCUUGAGCAAUGUCUUGUACCUAUGCCACCAAUGGUCUAUUAAUUUGCUGCAAGUCAGGGUUCCUUACCACCAUGUCUGCAGCUGGGGCGCUUGGGUCCAAGAAGAAGUUUGAAAUUAAG
Gallus gallus (chicken) is the source of this 464-nucleotide long non-coding RNA. The record is from Ensembl. Lineage: Eukaryota; Metazoa; Chordata; Aves; Galliformes; Phasianidae.